UACGUAGGUGGCAAGCGUUGUCCGGAAUUAUUGGGCGUAAAGAGUGCGUAGGCGGUCUAUUAAGUCUUAUUUGAAAGCCCAUGGCUUAACCAUGGAGGGUGAUAGGAAACUGGUAGACUUGAGUACAGGAGAGGAAGGUGGAAUUCCACGUGUAGCGGUGAAAUGCGUAGAUAUGUGGAGGAACACCGGUGGCGAAGGCGGCCUUCUGGCCUGUGUCUGACGCUAAGGCACGAAAGCGUGGGUAGCAAACAGG
This 253-nucleotide ribosomal RNA is filed under the name uncultured prokaryote. RNAcentral describes it as "partial 16S ribosomal RNA". It matches the Rfam family "Bacterial small subunit ribosomal RNA", at positions 524 to 776 of the family's 1533-position model. The record is from RNAcentral.